This 769-nucleotide ribosomal RNA is filed under the name Arthrobacter humicola. RNAcentral's name for it is "bacterial SSU rRNA". It matches the Rfam family "Bacterial small subunit ribosomal RNA", at positions 86 to 865 of the family's 1533-position model. The record is from RNAcentral. Lineage: Bacteria; Bacillati; Actinomycetota; Actinomycetes; Micrococcales; Micrococcaceae.
GGUGGAUUAGUGGCGAACGGGUGAGUAACACGUGAGUAACCUGCCCUUAACUCUGGGAUAAGCCUGGGAAACUGGGUCUAAUACCGGAUAUGACUCCUCAUCGCAUGGUGGGGGGUGGAAAGCUUUAUUGUGGUUUUGGAUGGACUCGCGGCCUAUCAGCUUGUUGGUGAGGUAAUGGCUCACCAAGGCGACGACGGGUAGCCGGCCUGAGAGGGUGACCGGCCACACUGGGACUGAGACACGGCCCAGACUCCUACGGGAGGCAGCAGUGGGGAAUAUUGCACAAUGGGCGAAAGCCUGAUGCAGCGACGCCGCGUGAGGGAUGACGGCCUUCGGGUUGUAAACCUCUUUCAGUAGGGAAGAAGCGAAAGUGACGGUACCUGCAGAAGAAGCGCCGGCUAACUACGUGCCAGCAGCCGCGGUAAUACGUAGGGCGCAAGCGUUAUCCGGAAUUAUUGGGCGUAAAGAGCUCGUAGGCGGUUUGUCGCGUCUGCCGUGAAAGUCCGGGGCUCAACUCCGGAUCUGCGGUGGGUACGGGCAGACUAGAGUGAUGUAGGGGAGACUGGAAUUCCUGGUGUAGCGGUGAAAUGCGCAGAUAUCAGGAGGAACACCGAUGGCGAAGGCAGGUCUCUGGGCAUUAACUGACGCUGAGGAGCGAAAGCAUGGGGAGCGAACAGGAUUAGAUACCCUGGUAGUCCAUGCCGUAAACGUUGGGCACUAGGUGUGGGGGACAUUCCACGUUUUCCGCGCCGUAGCUAACGCAUUAAGU